Long non-coding RNA from Equus asinus (donkey), 1153 nucleotides. NCBI's taxonomy places the organism in Eukaryota, Metazoa, Chordata, Mammalia, Perissodactyla, Equidae. The record is from Ensembl.
AUUCAGGGUUCCCAACCCUAAACAGAGGCAGGGGGUCUCCCACCCCAUGAGUCUCUUCUCUGCUGGGACCGGGCCCUGGCCCUGGAUGAGUCUCUACUCCACAGGGUCCUCAGUGCCUCUGGGUUCCCAAAGUGUCAGACCAACAGUCCCUAUGCUGAACCCGCUCCCCUGCUUCAGCCUCUGGGCCCAACGAGCAGCCCUGUCUGAAGACACAAGAACAGAGCCUCCUGCUCCUCUGACCACACUAUGCAGGGAGCACAGGGUCAGAACUAUGACCUUGAAUGACACUUCCUAAAACAGUGCCACCGGUCACUGCUGGCCAACAGGUAGUCACCACCUUUCCCCCAUACCUCUCUCCCUGCCCCUCCCUGGGCUCACAUUCUCUUUCUCCAAGGGGAAGAGCAGAGGGUCCUGGGCCUGCAGGGCUGUGAUCAGGCUGAGGAUGAUGGUCAGGAACAGAACCUUCAUCUCCAGGGAUCAGCCGCUGGCAGGUCACUGGGGUCUGGAGGAGGCUGUGCGAGUCCUCACAGCACUGCUCUUUAUGCCCAGCUCGGCCCCUGCCCAUGAACACUUGGCACUGGCCACACCCCUCCCACCUAGCAUCCCGGCCAAUUCUGCAUCAGGGGAGGUGGACUGUCAUUAUUGUUGGAAUCUAAUGAGUGACAAUUAAGUGCCACCACAGAAUAAAAGACAUAUAAUACCAUCCCUUUUUUGUGCCUCCCAGGGUGCUUACUCCAGGUGAGCCAUCUGGAUGAGGACAUUAUCAGAAGGGGCAGGGGUGCGUGUCUGCACUCCCAGUCACGGAGGGAAGGCCAAGGGCUUCCUUACCCUCCCGCCCAUCCCCCUCCCCCAGGAUCCCAGGGCUGGAUCUUCAGCCAGUGCUCUGAGAUUCUGGCUGGUUGCCAACCUAAUGCCUCAGUUCCAGAAUUUGCCAGAACGGAUUUGGUUUGGAGCAUGAGUGCAUCAGUGCAAUGCAAGGUGUGGACUAUGGUUGACAGUGCUGAUGGCCCACCCCCUCAGCCCACUGCAGCUGCAGUUCCUGCACACUGAGAGGGUCACAGCUUCCCAUCUCAAUGCCUGCAUCCUCUGUUCCCCUGUGCUUCCCAUGACACACAUGGUGACACCAGAAGUGCAGGUGAAUUCACCUACCGAG